GAGUUUGAUCUUGGCUCAGAUUGAACGCUGGCGGACAGGCCUAACACAUGCAAGUCGAGCGGAUGACGGGAGCUUGCUCCUUGAUUCAGCGGCGGACGGGUGAGUAAUGCCUAGGAAUCUGCCUGGUAGUGGGGGACAACGUUUCGAAAGGACGCUAAUACCGCAUACGUCCUACGGGAGAAAGCAGGGGACCUUCGGGCCUUGCGCUAUCAGAUGAGCCUAGGUCGGAUUAGCUAGUUGGUUGGGUAAUGGCUCACCAAGGCGACGAUCCGUAACUGGUCUGAGAGGAUGAUCAGUCACACUGGAACUGAGACACGGUCCAGACUCCUACGGGAGGCAGCAGUGGGGAAUAUUGGACAAUGGGCGAAAGCCUGAUCCAGCCAUGCCGCGUGUGU
Molecule: ribosomal RNA, 395 nt
Filed under: bacterium enrichment culture clone ALO1_GLFRUDD03GTADI
Lineage: Bacteria
Description: bacterial SSU rRNA
Rfam family: Bacterial small subunit ribosomal RNA
Source: RNAcentral